AAACAUGAGAGUUUGAUCCUGGCUCAGGAUGAACGCUGGCGGCGUGCUUAACACAUGCAAGUCGAACGAAGCACACUU
This 78-nucleotide ribosomal RNA is filed under the name Lachnospiraceae bacterium. RNAcentral describes it as "partial 16S ribosomal RNA". It matches the Rfam family "Bacterial small subunit ribosomal RNA", at positions 1 to 78 of the family's 1533-position model. Lineage: Bacteria; Bacillati; Bacillota; Clostridia; Lachnospirales; Lachnospiraceae. The record is from RNAcentral.